GACGAACGCUGGCGGCGUGCCUAAUACAUGCAAGUCGAACGCUUCUUUCCUCCCGAGUGCUUGCACUCAAUUGGAAAGAGGAGUGGCGGACGGGUGAGUAACACGUGGGUAACCUACCCAUCAGAGGGGGAUAACACUUGGAAACAGGUGCUAAUACCGCAUAACAGUUUAUGCCGCAUGGCAUAAGAGUGAAAGGCGCUUUCGGGUGUCGCUGAUGGAUGGACCCGCGGUGCAUUAGCUAGUUGGUGAGGUAACGGCUCACCAAGGCCACGAUGCAUAGCCGACCUGAGAGGGUGAUCGGCCACACUGGGACUGAGACACGGCCCAGACUCCUACGGGAGGCAGCAGUAGGGAAUCUUCGGCAAUGGACGAAAGUCUGACCGAGCAACGCCGCGUGAGUGAAGAAGGUUUUCGGAUCGUAAAACUCUGUUGUUAGAGAAGAACAAGGACGUUAGU
RNAcentral lists this ribosomal RNA (456 nucleotides) under Enterococcus faecalis. RNAcentral's name for it is "bacterial SSU rRNA". It matches the Rfam family "Bacterial small subunit ribosomal RNA", at positions 28 to 462 of the family's 1533-position model. Lineage: Bacteria; Bacillati; Bacillota; Bacilli; Lactobacillales; Enterococcaceae. The record is from RNAcentral.